This 748-nucleotide ribosomal RNA is filed under the name uncultured Lachnospiraceae bacterium. RNAcentral describes it as "bacterial SSU rRNA". It matches the Rfam family "Bacterial small subunit ribosomal RNA", at positions 28 to 776 of the family's 1533-position model. The record is from RNAcentral. Lineage: Bacteria; Bacillati; Bacillota; Clostridia; Lachnospirales; Lachnospiraceae.
GAUGAACGCUGGCGGCGUGCCUAACACAUGCAAGUCGAGCGAAGCACUUUGCUUAGAUUCUUCGGAUGAAGAGGAUUGUGACUGAGCGGCGGACGGGUGAGUAACGCGUGGGUAACCUGCCUCAUACAGGGGGAUAACAGUUAGAAAUGACUGCUAAUACCGCAUAAGACCACAGCACCGCAUGGUGCGGGGGUAAAAACUCCGGUGGUAUGAGAUGGACCCGCGUCUGAUUAGCUAGUUGGUAAGGUAACGGCUUACCAAGGCGACGAUCAGUAGCCGACCUGAGAGGGUGACCGGCCACAUUGGGACUGAGACACGGCCCAAACUCCUACGGGAGGCAGCAGUGGGGAAUAUUGCACAAUGGGGGAAACCCUGAUGCAGCGACGCCGCGUGAGCGAAGAAGUAUUUCGGUAUGUAAAGCUCUAUCAGCAGGGAAGAAAAUGACGGUACCUGACUAAGAAGCACCGGCUAAAUACGUGCCAGCAGCCGCGGUAAUACGUAUGGUGCAAGCGUUAUCCGGAUUUACUGGGUGUAAAGGGAGCGUAGACGGAUGGGCAAGUCUGAUGUGAAAACCCGGGGCUCAACCCCGGGACUGCAUUGGAAACUGUUCAUCUAGAGUGCUGGAGAGGUAAGUGGAAUUCCUAGUGUAGCGGUGAAAUGCGUAGAUAUUAGGAGGAACACCAGUGGCGAAGGCGGCUUACUGGACAGUAACUGACGUUGAGGCUCGAAAGCGUGGGGAGCAAACAGG